Molecule: long non-coding RNA, 1150 nt
Filed under: Medicago truncatula (barrel medic)
Lineage: Eukaryota; Viridiplantae; Streptophyta; Magnoliopsida; Fabales; Fabaceae
Description: long non-coding RNA (MTRU_LNC003432)
Source: RNAcentral
GAGGGUUAAAACCAUAGUAUGAUUAUAUGAAAUGAAAUGGCAAAAGUUGAAAAGAAUGUUUCAUGUCAUCUGACAGAUUUUGAUAAAGAAAUUACAAAGUACUUUGUGAACAAUAUUGCACAAGAAAUCACAAAGUAAUAGCUUACAAUACACAGAUGCCAGCAAAUAAUAGAUACAAUGUCAAUUACAAUUUCUUUUUUGGACUAAGUUUACAAUUUUAAUGUUGUCAUCACACUCUUGUAGAAUCUCUACACCAUGUACGCAAAAAAAAAACUUCUUUUGCACAUAGAUGUGCUUGGUUUUGGUUUUCUGUCUUCUAAUGCAUUUAGUAUAAUCAAAGAUUAGAUCAAGUUACUCCGCUGGUAGUAUAUAAAACAAAUAUUAGAUCAAGAGAUUUCACAUUUCAGGUUCAAACUCCGUUGAUUCUCUCUGAGUGCAACUUUAUUUUAUUUGUCAUUUUUGUGCAGCGUUAUUUGAUAUGCUUUCUUGUUGCAAUCUUCGUUACAAAUUGAAUCAAUAACAUCGACGAUAACUCAUGAACCCGUUGACAUGAGUAAAAAACAACAUGUUUCGAUGUUGAAAUCUGUAUUAAGAAGACAUUUCCAAAAAAUAACUACGUAUAACAGAAUUAAAAUAUCAUAAAACAUUGAAAAUGUUAAAUAUAAGAAUAUCAUGCGUUUUCUCAUCCUUUCUGCCCCAGGUUAGUGUCUGGCCCACAUAACUUUAUCUUAUUUCUUCUGCUGAAAUAAACAUGGAAGAUUUUUUGAUUUGAGUGGUUUUGAUCCAUAAAAUUUUGUUCCUUGUGCAUUAUUUUUUACGAACCAAACAUACGCUACAUGUCGGUGUUUUUCCUCAAUAUGAGUGGUGAUUAAAAUGGAUGUAAAAGUAAGCACUAUUGGUGACACAGAUUGAAAUUUGGCACGCGUACAAAGCACUAUAACAGGCUAAGAGACAGAUCUAUAUCCUUUUUAAUUAUUUUGUUACUUGAAAUUAUAUGUAUCAUAUGAUUUGGUCUCUCAUUUUCCAUUUAUAAAUGGGAGUAGUUCUUUGAAAGUAACGACCAUAAACCAAUUUUGUUAUAUAUAUAUAUAUAUAUAUAUAUAUGUAUAGAAAAGGCUAAUUUGUUAAUAUUGUAUUUGAUAAAAAUAAC